UUAAGCGACUAAGCGUACACGGUGGAUGCCCUGGCAGUCAGAGGCGAUGAAGGACGUGCUAAUCUGCGAUAAGCGUCGGUAAGGUGAUAUGAACCGUUAUAACCGGCGAUUUCCGAAUGGGGAAACCCAGUGUGAUUCGUCACACUAUCAUUAACUGAAUCCAUAGGUUAAUGAGGCGAACCGGGGGAACUGAAACAUCUAAGUACCCCGAGGAAAAGAAAUCAACCGAGAUUCCCCCAGUAGCGGCGAGCGAACGGGGAGCAGCCCAGAGCCUGAAUCAGUGUGUGUGUUAGUGGAAGCGUCUGGAAAGGCGCGCGAUACAGGGUGACAGCCCCGUACACAAAAAUGCACAUGCUGUGAGCUCGAUGAGUAGGGCGGGACACGUGGUAUCCUGUCUGAAUAUGGGGGGACCAUCCUCCAAGGCUAAAUACUCCUGACUGACCGAUAGUGAACCAGUACCGUGAGGGAAAGGCGAAAAGAACCCCGGCGAGGGGAGUGAAAAAGAACCUGAAACCGUGUACGUACAAGCAGUGGGAGCCUCUUUAUGGGGUGACUGCGUACCUUUUGUAUAAUGGGUCAGCGACUUAUAUUCUGUAGCAAGGUUAACCAAAUAGGGGAGCCGAAGGGAAACCGAGUCUUAACUGGGCGUUAAGUUGCAGGGUAUAGACCCGAAACCCGGUGAUCUAGCCAUGGGCAGGUUGAAGGUUGGGUAACACUAACUGGAGGACCGAACCGACUAAUGUUGAAAAAUUAGCGGAUGACUUGUGGCUGGGGGUGAAAGGCCAAUCAAACCGGGAGAUAGCUGGUUCUCCCCGAAAGCUAUUUAGGUAGCGCCUCGUGAAUUCAUCUCCGGGGGUAGAGCACUGUUUCGGCAAGGGGGUCAUCCCGACUUACCAACCCGAUGCAAACUGCGAAUACCGGAGAAUGUUAUCACGGGAGACACACGGCGGGUGCUAACGUCCGUCGUGAAGAGGGAAACAACCCAGACCGCCAGCUAAGGUCCCAAAGUCAUGGUUAAGUGGGAAACGAUGUGGGAAGGCCCAGACAGCCAGGAUGUUGGCUUAGAAGCAGCCAUCAUUUAAAGAAAGCGUAAUAGCUCACUGGUCGAGUCGGCCUGCGCGGAAGAUGUAACGGGGCUAAACCAUGCACCGAAGCUGCGGCAGCGACGCUCAUGCGUUGUUGGGUAGGGGAGCGUUCUGUAAGCCUGCGAAGGUGUACUGUGAGGUAUGCUGGAGGUAUCAGAAGUGCGAAUGCUGACAUAAGUAACGAUAAAGCGGGUGAAAAGCCCGCUCGCCGGAAGACCAAGGGUUCCUGUCCAACGUUAAUCGGGGCAGGGUGAGUCGACCCCUAAGGCGAGGCCGAAAGGCGUAGUCGAUGGGAAACAGGUUAAUAUUCCUGUACUUGGUGUUACUGCGAAGGGGGACGGAGAAGGCUAUGUUGGCCGGGCGACGGUUGUCCCGGUUUAAGCGUGUAGGCUGGUUUUCCAGGCAAAUCCGGAAAAUCAAGGCUGAGGCGUGAUGACGAGGCACUACGGUGCUGAAGCAACAAAUGCCCUGCUUCCAGGAAAAGCCUCUAAGCAUCAGGUAACAUCAAAUCGUACCCCAAACCGACACAGGUGGUCAGGUAGAGAAUACCAAGGCGCUUGAGAGAACUCGGGUGAAGGAACUAGGCAAAAUGGUGCCGUAACUUCGGGAGAAGGCACGCUGAUAUGUAGGUGAAGCGACUUGCUCGUGGAGCUGAAAUCAGUCGAAGAUACCAGCUGGCUGCAACUGUUUAUUAAAAACACAGCACUGUGCAAACACGAAAGUGGACGUAUACGGUGUGACGCCUGCCCGGUGCCGGAAGGUUAAUUGAUGGGGUUAGCGGCAACGCGAAGCUCUUGAUCGAAGCCCCGGUAAACGGCGGCCGUAACUAUAACGGUCCUAAGGUAGCGAAAUUCCUUGUCGGGUAAGUUCCGACCUGCACGAAUGGCGUAAUGAUGGCCAGGCUGUCUCCACCCGAGACUCAGUGAAAUUGAACUCGCUGUGAAGAUGCAGUGUACCCGCGGCAAGACGGAAAGACCCCGUGAACCUUUACUAUAGCUUGACACUGAACAUUGAGCCUUGAUGUGUAGGAUAGGUGGGAGGCUUUGAAGUGUGGACGCCAGUCUGCAUGGAGCCGACCUUGAAAUACCACCCUUUAAUGUUUGAUGUUCUAACGUUGGCCCCUUAUCGGGGUUGCGGACAGUGUCUGGUGGGUAGUUUGACUGGGGCGGUCUCCUCCUAAAGAGUAACGGAGGAGCACGAAGGUUGGCUAAUCCUGGUCGGACAUCAGGAGGUUAGUGCAAUGGCAUAAGCCAGCUUGACUGCGAGCGUGACGGCGCGAGCAGGUGCGAAAGCAGGUCAUAGUGAUCCGGUGGUUCUGAAUGGAAGGGCCAUCGCUCAACGGAUAAAAGGUACUCCGGGGAUAACAGGCUGAUACCGCCCAAGAGUUCAUAUCGACGGCGGUGUUUGGCACCUCGAUGUCGGCUCAUCACAUCCUGGGGCUGAAGUAGGUCCCAAGGGUAUGGCUGUUCGCCAUUUAAAGUGGUACGCGAGCUGGGUUUAGAACGUCGUGAGACAGUUCGGUCCCUAUCUGCCGUGGGCGCUGGAGAACUGAGGGGGGCUGCUCCUAGUACGAGAGGACCGGAGUGGACGCAUCACUGGUGUUCGGGUUGUCAUGCCAAUGGCACUGCCCGGUAGCUAAAUGCGGAAGAGAUAAGUGCUGAAAGCAUCUAAGCACGAAACUUGCCCCGAGAUGAGUUCUCCCUGACCCUUUAAGGGUCCUGAAGGAACGUUGAAGACGACGACGUUGAUAGGCCGGGUGUGUAAGCGCAGCGAUGCGUUGAGCUAACCGGUACUAAUGAACCGUGAGGCUUAACCUU
Molecule: ribosomal RNA, 2902 nt
Filed under: Escherichia coli
Lineage: Bacteria; Pseudomonadati; Pseudomonadota; Gammaproteobacteria; Enterobacterales; Enterobacteriaceae
Description: bacterial LSU rRNA
Rfam family: Bacterial large subunit ribosomal RNA
Source: RNAcentral